Molecule: non-coding RNA, 1091 nt
Organism: Arvicanthis niloticus (Nile rat)
Lineage: Eukaryota; Metazoa; Chordata; Mammalia; Rodentia; Muridae
Source: RefSeq, a predicted model, not a curated record
AAUAUAAGUAUAACCCAGACACAGCAGGGGAAUUGUCUUCUUCUGCUCAUGGCAGAAGAAGCAGUGACUGUGUGGCCAGAAGCCUGUGGAGCAGGUGACAUGGUGGCCUGAUCACUUUUUCAAGUCUUAGGGACAAUGAGAAUGGUGACUUACCAUGCUUCCAACUGCCAUCCUCGCCAUAGAGCUGCAGUACUGUUCUCACAAAGUCCUUGGCAUUAAAACAAACAAUGGGGCAUUUACACCUAAGUGUCCAAAACAGUAUGUUCCUAGACAAGGGAAAAUUCACCAUUUAGAUAAUAAUUUGGAUCUUGGAAAAAUAUUGUAAUAUCAAAUAACUAGCUAUCCUUAUACAGCAUAUAUAUACCUUAAUUAACUAAAGAAUCCUAUGAGCUCCUGUGCAGAAUAUACACAGUGGACCUGGUCCAAGCCCCUCCAAGUAUCCCACCUCUCAGCAUGCCAGGUCUUUCCUUCUGCAAUCUCACUGUGCCACUUCUACCCAUGCUGCUGGGGAUGGCAUAUGCUCUUGCAUGUCUACUCUUCUCCACUUACAACUUGUGCAGCCUGCUCAAGAGAUGUUCUGGGCAAGCAGCCUAUCCACACACCUUUCAUAGGACCCACAUGUGCUAAACUGCAGAUUCUUCCACCACCUUAUGAGACUCUGAAUGUGGGAUAACAGUUAACAUUUAUCAUAGCAGAUACAAGGCUACUGUUUCACAAGGUUGCCACACUAUAACUUAAUCACAGAGCUAUAAGGUAGGCACUCCAUCCAGUAUACAGAUGAAGGGACUUGGAUUCAGAUAUGUCACACCAAGCAGAUGCCACCUUGACAAAUGUUCUGGGGACAUGGCCCCACUUGCUCAUGUGUAAUUCCAAGGCUCCAAGAACACCCAUGGAAAAUGGAACUGACAACUGUGAAUGGAGAACUGAGAAGCAUGUCUCCUGAACUAGAGUAUGGCAUACCUGCAGUCCAUUUUUGGCUUUUUGCACACACAGACAGUACAUUAUAAGCCAAGCCACGCAGCUCUGAAAUAGUGGCUCAGGUUGUGUCUACUGGCCUGCUUGUACCUGAACCAAAUAAACCACUUCCAGCA